Molecule: ribosomal RNA, 2133 nt
Filed under: Triticum aestivum (bread wheat)
Lineage: Eukaryota; Viridiplantae; Streptophyta; Magnoliopsida; Poales; Poaceae
Description: partial small subunit ribosomal RNA
Source: RNAcentral
AUGGCCGUGCUCGAUGCCUUUUGGGAGAUUGUGUCAGAGAAUGACCUUCUCCUGCUCUCCAAAGACAAAUUUGUGGAGGGAGUCACUCCCACUGCAUAUGCCUUUGCCAUAGUGGAACAGCGGGGUGGUAAAGGCACAAUCUCUCUUAGAACAUUUGUGGCAGGGGAAAUAAAAAAUCUGAAUGUUGCAAACCCUGUGAAGUCUUCAAGACUAGAGCGCAUUACUUCCAUUCUCUCAACAUCAGGAAGCUUUCUGUCGAUUUUAAAGAUAUGCAGCCUGUCUACUAUACUGCGAGAGUACUCUGCGAUGCACUCUGUAGCUUCACUUCCUUUUAAGGAUUUGAUCUUUUCAGCAUCUGAGAAGAAUAAAGAUGGAGAUGAUCAAAAUCGUGCUUGGAAUGUCCCUGGGCCACUUAUGGAGUACCUGAAAACAAACCUUAAUGAUUCACAGCUAGAUGCAGUUAAUGCAGGUCUUUCUCGCAGAUCCUUUGUCCUUAUUCAGGGCCCUCCAGGAACCGGAAAAACACAAACUAUUCUUGGACUUCUCAGUGCUGUUCUCCAUUCCACUCCAGCCAGAAUGCAGACCAAAGGAGGGUUCAAUGUUCAAAAGCAUGGGUCUGAGCUGGACACUGAGAGCAAGCUUGCAAACUGGAUGAAAGCAUCUCCUUGGCUGAUUGGUGCAAAUCCUCGAGAUUUGAUUAUGCCUGUUGAUGGUGAUGAUGGUUUUUAUCCUACUGGGAAUGAGCUGAAACCUGAAGUCAUAAGUUCCAGUCGCAAGUAUCGGGCCCAUGUGUUGGUUUGCGCUCCAUCCAACUCAGCACUUGAUGAGAUUGUAUUGCAUGUUCUUCAAACAGGAAUACGUGAUGAAAAUAACAACACUUACAAUCCCAAGAUUGUGCGUAUUGGAUUAAAGGCACAUCAUUCUGUCAAAGCAGUUUCCAUGGAUCAUCUUAUACAACAAAAACUUUCUGGUGUGGAUCGCUCAUCAGAUGGCAGGAGAAGUGGAGCUGGUGAAUAUGAUCGAAUUAGAGCUUCUAUUCUUGACGAAGCAGCUAUUGUAUUUUCUACCCUGAGUUUCAGUGGAUCAGCCAUUCUCACCAGGAUGACUCGUGCUUUUGAUGUUGUUAUAAUUGAUGAAGCCGCGCAAGCUGUAGAACCAGCGACUCUUGUACCCCUGGUUCAUGGAUGCAGACAAGUUUUUCUUGUUGGCGACCCAGUUCAGUUGCCAGCAACUGUAAUUUCAUCGACUGCUCAGGAGUUAGGGUAUGGAACAAGUUUGUUCAAGAGAUUUCAAGCUGCUGGUUUUCCUGUGCAAAUGCUCAAAAUUCAGUAUCGUAUGCACCCAGAGAUCAGUAUAUUCCCUUCAAAAGAAUUCUACGAAGGCAUCCUACAAGAUGGGGAGGGACUCAACAAAAAACGUCCAUGGCAUUCCUACAGCUGCUUUGGACCAUUUUGCUUCUUUGAUAUCGAUGAGGUUGAAUCCAAGCCGUCUGGAACUGGUUCAUGGGUGAACGAGGAUGAAGUGGAAUUCAUAACCCUCCUAUAUCACCAAUUGGCCACACACUAUCCAGAACUCAAAUCCAGUUCCCUAGUAGCUGUUAUAUCACCAUACAAGCAUCAGGUGAAACUCUUGAAGGACCAUUUUCGGUCGACCUUCGGCGAUCAAUCUAAGGAAGUUAUAGAUGUAAACACUGUUGAUGGAUUCCAGGGUCGUGAAAAGGAAGUUGUCAUUUUUUCAUGUGUUAGAUGCAAUAAGGAGCAAAAUAUUGGUUUUGUUUCUGAUUUCCGACGAAUGAAUGUUGCCAUCACCAGAGCUAGGUCUGCUGUACUAGUCAUUGGCUCUGCUUCAACAUUGCAGCAAGAUAAACACUGGAACAACCUUGUUGAGAGUGCCAAAGAGCGAGGGCGCUAUUUCAAGGUUUCGAAGCCAUUCACCAUGUUCUUUGCUGAGGAUAAGUUCAAAACCAUGAAGGUGGAAAGACUUGCUCCAGACACAAGGUUCUCUCAGGCAAUAGAAGCAAUUAACGAAGUUGUUGCAAGGCAAGAAGUCAUGGAUGCCGAUGAUGCUGGUGACCAAGCGGAUGGAGACGAUUAUGAUGCCAUGGAGGCUGACGAUGGAGGUGGUGAUGAUUAA